CUGUGGGGAUCUGGCACUGUGGUUCCUGCAUGAAAACAGUGGCUGGUGGUGCCUGGACCUACAACGCACUUCUGCUGUCACAGUCAAGUCUGC
RNAcentral lists this microRNA precursor (93 nucleotides) under Ictidomys tridecemlineatus (thirteen-lined ground squirrel). RNAcentral describes it as "miRNA (ENSSTOG00000016697.1)". Lineage: Eukaryota; Metazoa; Chordata; Mammalia; Rodentia; Sciuridae. The record is from RNAcentral.